GAUCCUGGCUCAGGAUGAACGCUAGCUACAGGCUUAACACAUGCAAGUCGAGGGGCAGCAUGGAGUUGCUUGCAAACUCUGAUGGCGACCGGCGCACGGGUGAGUAACGCGUAUCCAACCUUCCCUAUAGUAGAGGAUAGCCCGGCGAAAGUCGGAUUAAUACUCUAUGUUUUCCGUUGCAGACAUCUAAGAUGGAACAAAGGCUUGCCGCUAUAGGAUGGGGAUGCGUCUGAUUAGGUAGUCGGCGGGGUAACGGCCCACCGAGCCAUCGAUCAGUAGGGUUCUGAGAGGAAGGUCCCCCACAUUGGAACUGAGACACGGUCCAAACUCCUACGGGAGGCAGCAGUGAGGAAUAUUGGUCAAUGGACGAGAGUCUGAACCAGCCAAGUAGCCGUGCAGGACGACGGCCCUAUGGGUUGUAAACUGCUUUUAUGCGGGGAUAAAGUUCACUACGUGUAGUGUUUUGUAGGUACCGCAUGAAUAAGGACCGGCUAAUUCCGUGCCAGCCGCCGC
RNAcentral lists this ribosomal RNA (513 nucleotides) under uncultured bacterium. Its description in RNAcentral is "bacterial SSU rRNA". It matches the Rfam family "Bacterial small subunit ribosomal RNA", at positions 15 to 518 of the family's 1533-position model. The record is from RNAcentral.